RNAcentral lists this ribosomal RNA (470 nucleotides) under uncultured Humibacillus sp. RNAcentral's name for it is "bacterial SSU rRNA". It matches the Rfam family "Bacterial small subunit ribosomal RNA", at positions 31 to 507 of the family's 1533-position model. The record is from RNAcentral. Lineage: Bacteria; Bacillati; Actinomycetota; Actinomycetes; Micrococcales; Intrasporangiaceae.
CGUCAGAGAACGCUGGCGGCGGUGCUUACACACUGCAAGUCGAACGGUGACGGUCAGCUUGCUUGGUCUGAUCAGUGGCGAACGGGUGGAGUAACACGUGAGUAACCUGCCCCAGACUCUGGGAUACCCGGAAACCGGAGCUAAUACCGGAUAUGACCCUCGUACGCAUGUGCAGGGGGUGGAAAGUUUUUCGGUCUGGGAUGGGCUCGCGGCCUAUCAGCUUGUUGGUGAGGUAGUGGCUCACCAAGGCGACGACGGGUAGCCGGCCUGAGAGGGCGACCGGCCACACUGGGACUGAGACACGGCCCAGACUCCUACGGGAGGCAGCAGUGGGGAAUAUUGCACAAUGGGCGGAAGCCUGAUGCAGCGACGCCGCGUGAGGGAUGACGGCCUUCGGGUUGUAAACCUCUUUCAGCAGGGAAGAAGCGCAAGUGACGGUACCUGCAGAAGAAGCACCGGCUAACUACGUG